Phodopus roborovskii (desert hamster) is the source of this 105-nucleotide small nuclear RNA. Lineage: Eukaryota; Metazoa; Chordata; Mammalia; Rodentia; Cricetidae. The record is from RefSeq and is a predicted model, not a curated record.
GUGCUCGCUUCAGCAGCACAAAUACCAAAGUUGGAAUGAUAGAGAAGAUUAGAAUGGCCCCUGCACAAGGAUGACAUUCAAAUUCAUUAAUCAUCCCAUACUUUU